RNAcentral lists this ribosomal RNA (2913 nucleotides) under Zooshikella ganghwensis. Its description in RNAcentral is "bacterial LSU rRNA". It matches the Rfam family "Bacterial large subunit ribosomal RNA". Lineage: Bacteria; Pseudomonadati; Pseudomonadota; Gammaproteobacteria; Oceanospirillales; Zooshikellaceae. The record is from RNAcentral.
GUUAUAUGGUCAAGUGAAUAAGUGCAUACGGUGGAUGCCUUGGCAGCUGGAGGCGAUGAAGGACGUGUAAGCCUGCGAAAAGCAUCGGGGAGUUGGCAAAAGAACUGUGAUCCGAUGAUGUCCGAAUGGGGAAACCCACCUAGUGUAAGCUAGGUAUCUGCACCUGAAUCCAUAGGGUGUAGAGGCGAACCCGGGGAACUGAAACAUCUAAGUACCCGGAGGAAAAGAAAUCAACCGAGAUUCCGUGAGUAGCGGCGAGCGAAAGUGGAACAGCCCUUAAGCUUGGAAUGUUUUAGGAGAGGCCAUUGGAAAAUGGCGCCAUAGAAGGUGAUAGCCCUGUAUCUGAAAGGGCAUUCCAAGUGAAAUCGAGUAGGUCGGGACACGUGUUAUCUUGACUGAAUAUGGGGGGACCAUCCUCCAAGGCUAAAUACUCCCAGCUGACCGAUAGUGAACCAGUACCGUGAGGGAAAGGCGAAAAGAACCCCGUUGAGGGGAGUGAAAUAGACCCUGAAACCGUAUGCAUACAAGCAGUGGGAGCCUGUCUUCGGACGGGUGACUGCGUACCUUUUGUAUAAUGGGUCAGCGACUUACUUUUAGUGGCAAGGUUAACCGUAUAGGGGAGCCGUAGGGAAACCGAGUCUGAAUAGGGCGUGUAGUCGCUAGGAGUAGACCCGAAACCGAGCGAUCUAUCCAUGGGCAGGGUGAAGGUUAGGUAACACUGACUGGAGGCCCGAACCCACUGUCGUUGAAAAGCCAGGGGAUGACCUGUGGAUAGGAGUGAAAGGCUAAUCAAGCUCGGAGAUAGCUGGUUCUCCCCGAAAGCUAUUUAGGUAGCGCCUCGCGUCUCACCCUCGGGGGUAGAGCACUGUUUCGGCUAGGGGCCCAUCCCGGGUUACCAAACCGAUGCAAACUCCGAAUACCGAGGAGUGCAAUCGCGGGAGACAGACGGCGGGUGCUAACGUCCGUCGUCAAGAGGGAAACAACCCAGACCGCCAGCUAAGGUCCCCAAGUUCUAGUUAAGUGGGAAACGAUGUGAGAAGGCCCAGACAGCCAGGAGGUUGGCUUAGAAGCAGCCACCCUUUAAAGAAAGCGUAAUAGCUCACUGGUCGAGUCGGCUCGCGCGGAAGAUGUAACGGGGCUAAAACUAGACACCGAAGCUGCGGCUGCACAUUUAGGUGUGCGGGGUAGGGGAGCGUUCUGUAAGCUGUAGAAGGUCAAUCGAGAGGUUGGCUGGAGGUAUCAGAAGUGCGAAUGCUGACAUGAGUAACGAUAAAGGGAGUGAGAAGCUCCCUCGCCGGAAGACCAAGGGUUCCUGCGCAACGUUAAUCGGCGCAGGGUGAGUCGGCCCCUAAGGCGAGCACGAAAGUGGUAGUCGAUGGGAAACUGGUUAAAAUUCCAGUACUGCUAAUGACUGCGAUGGAGGGACGGAGAAGGCUAGGUCAGCCUGGUGAUGGUUAUCCAGGUUUAAGCUAGUAGGCGGUGUUCUUAGGCAAAUCCGGGAACGCAACGCCGAGAAGCGACGACGAGCUCUCAUUAGAGAGCGAAGUGAUUGAUGCCCUGCUUCCAGGAAAAUCUUCUAAGCUUCAGGUCAUUAGGAACCGUACCCCAAACCGACACAGGUGGUCAGGUAGAGAAUACCAAGGCGCUUGAGAGAACUCGGGUGAAGGAACUAGGCAAAAUGGCACCGUAACUUCGGGAGAAGGUGCGCCGCUGAUGGUGAUUGGACUAGCUCCAUGAGCUGUUGGCGGUCGAAGAUACCAGGUGGCUGCGACUGUUUAUUAAAAACACAGCACUCUGCAAACACGAAAGUGGACGUAUAGGGUGUGACGCCUGCCCGGUGCCGGAAGGUUAAUUGAUGGGGUUAGCUUCGGCGAAGCUCUUGAUCGAAGCCCCGGUAAACGGCGGCCGUAACUAUAACGGUCCUAAGGUAGCGAAAUUCCUUGUCGGGUAAGUUCCGACCUGCACGAAUGGCGUAACGAUGGCCACGCUGUCUCCACCCGAGACUCAGUGAAAUUGAACUUGCUGUGAAGAUGCAGUGUAUCCGCGGCUAGACGGAAAGACCCCGUGAACCUUUACUACAGCUUCACACUGGACUUUGAACCUACUUGUGUAGGAUAGCUGGGAGGCUUUGAAGCCGGGACGCCAGUUCUGGUGGAGCCGACCUUGAAAUACCAGCCUGGUAUGUUUGAGGUUCUAACUCUGACCUGUAAUCCAGGUCGAGGACAGUGUGUGGUGGGUAGUUUGACUGGGGCGGUCUCCUCCCAAAGCGUAACGGAGGAGCACGAAGGUGCGCUAAGCAUGGUCGGACAUCAUGCGGUUAGUGUAAAGGCAUAAGCGCGCUUAACUGCGAGACGUACAUGUCGAGCAGGUACGAAAGUAGGUCUUAGUGAUCCGGUGGUUCUGAAUGGAAGGGCCAUCGCUCAACGGAUAAAAGGUACUCCGGGGAUAACAGGCUGAUACCGCCCAAGAGUUCACAUCGACGGCGGUGUUUGGCACCUCGAUGUCGGCUCAUCACAUCCUGGGGCUGAAGCCGGUCCCAAGGGUAUGGCUGUUCGCCAUUUAAAGUGGUACGCGAGCUGGGUUUAGAACGUCGUGAGACAGUUCGGUCCCUAUCUGCCGUGGACGUUGGAGACUUGAGGAGAGCUGCUCCUAGUACGAGAGGACCGGAGUGGACGAACCACUGGUGUUCCGGUUGUGUCGCCAGACGCAUUGCCGGGUAGCUAAGUUCGGACGGGAUAACCGCUGAAGGCAUCUAAGCGGGAAGCCCCCUUCAAGAUGAAGUCUCCCUGGGCUGUAAGGCCCCUGAAGAGCCGUUUAAGACUAAGACGUUGAUAGGCUGGGUGUGUAAGCGUUGUGAGGCGUUGAGCUAACCAGUACUAAUGGCUCGUGAGGCUUGACCAUAUAACGCCAAAG